Molecule: ribosomal RNA, 393 nt
Filed under: uncultured bacterium
Lineage: Bacteria
Description: partial 16S ribosomal RNA
Rfam family: Bacterial small subunit ribosomal RNA
Source: RNAcentral
AUACGGAGGAUGCGAGCGUUAUCCGGAUUUAUUGGGUUUAAAGGGUGCGUAGGCUGUGCGUUAAGUCAGGGGUGAAAUGCCGUCGCCCAACGACGGAGCUGCCCUUGAUACUGGCGUGCUGGAGUACGGAUGCCGUUGGAGGAAUGAGUGGUGUAGCGGUGAAAUGCUUAGAUAUCACUCAGAACACCGAUUGCGAAGGCAUCUGACGAAUCCGUCACUGACGCUGAGGCACGAAAGCGUGGGGAUAGAACAGGAUUAGAUACCCUGGUAUUCCACGCCGUAAACGAUGAUGACUAACCGUCGGCGAUAGACAGCCGGUGGCCAAGCGAAAGCGAUAAGUCAUCCACCUGGGGAGUACGUCGGCAACGAUGAAACUCAAAUGAAUUGACGGGG